UCCUACGGGAGGCAGCAGGAGGGAAUCUUGCGCAAUGGGCGAAAGCCUGACGCAGCGACGCCGCGUGGGGGAUGAAUGCCUUAGGGUUGUAAACCCCUUUCACGAGGGAAGAAACUGACGGUACCUCGAGAAGAAGCCCCGGCCAACUACGUGCCAGCAGCCGCGGUAAUACGUAGGGGGCGAGCGUUGUCCGGAUUUAUUGGGCGUAAAGGGCUCGUAGGCGGCUUGGCAAGUCGGCCGUGAAAACCCAGGGCUCAACUCUGGGACGCCGGUCGAUACUGCCAUGGCUAGGGUCCGGUAGAGGGGAAUGGAAUUCCCGGUGUAGCGGUGAAAUGCGCAGAUAUCGGGAGGAACACCAGUAGCGAGGGCGGUUCCCUGGGCCGGCACCGACGCUGAGGAGCGAAAGCGUGGGGAGCAAACAGGAUUAGAUACCCUGGUAGUCCACGCCGUAAACGUUGGGUACUAGGCGUGGCGUCUUAUCAACGGAUGCCGUGCUCGAAGCUAACGCGUUAAGUACCCCGCCUGGGGAGUACGGCCGCAAGGCUAAAACUCAAAGGAAUUGACGGGGA
RNAcentral lists this ribosomal RNA (569 nucleotides) under uncultured bacterium. RNAcentral describes it as "bacterial SSU rRNA". It matches the Rfam family "Bacterial small subunit ribosomal RNA", at positions 337 to 919 of the family's 1533-position model. The record is from RNAcentral.